RNAcentral lists this transfer RNA (58 nucleotides) under Hypodontus macropi. Its description in RNAcentral is "tRNA-Phe". The record is from RNAcentral. Lineage: Eukaryota; Metazoa; Nematoda; Chromadorea; Rhabditida; Strongylidae.
AUUUCAUUAGUUUAUCUUUAAAAUAUGACUCUGAAGAAGUCAAGAAAUAGUGAAGUGA